ACCGCAGGGUUCAAAUGGAAAUGCCAUUUUUAAAGUGGAUCUUGUGCAAUCAACAAAAGGUUUUGGGACCCACAUGGGCACAUGACAGGGAGAGGUCACUGAGCCCUGGUUUCGAUGUUGGCCUGGUGUUUCAGAGGAGCGGGAGAGCUGGCAGCACUUAGGACCUCAGCGCUUCCUCGGUGGCUGCAUCCUGUGUGGCACUCACCACAGGGAGGUCAAGAACCCACGGCCACCCUGGGUGGACGCCACACACAGGAAAUGGGCAUGGCCUGGCCUGUCUCUCUCACGGGUCUUGCUGGGACCUAGUGCGAUAAGAACUGUGCAAGCGCUUCCUAAGGGCCCGUCGAAGUUAAUAUAUCUCUGCAGAACGCCGAGGGGCACAGCAACCAUCGACCACAGCAGAACAAAGAUGCAGUGGCCUGCGCCACUAGCCAAGGAGCCCAGGACCCCCUGGGUCUCAAAUUGUGCAACAGCUCCCUAAAAAGCCUCAACCCUGAAACUGGCCCAAGGAAGUCACCCAAACCCCUGGCAGGUGAAGAGGCCCACUGCCAUUCCAUCAGGAGGCCAACAAGGAUCCCUGAAGAGCCACUGCCUCUGUAAAAGGUACCGGCAGCCUCUUGCAGAUGGAAGGGAGUCCCUUUGUUGUUUUGUUUUUCCUCCUCUUGAUGGUAAAUGUCUUUGAUGUGUGGCUUACAGAAAUGAUCUCUUUACCCAUCUGUAUCUGCUCAACAGUUCGCAGAAAAUCUGCUCUAAAUCCACACAGCCCAUACUUGGUCAUAAUUUUUCUCCUGACUCAUCCACGAGAAAGCCAACCUGGGCACUGCAGGCUGGAUCCCCAUCCUCCUGAGAGAAGGCCAUGGCCAGCCCAGGGGACAGGAGGAGAGAGGCGGUGUUCUAGAAAUAACUUCUCCUUUGUUCACCUCUACUGACAGGUGGCCCAUGUGCAGGAC
Molecule: long non-coding RNA, 950 nt
Organism: Piliocolobus tephrosceles (Ugandan red Colobus)
Lineage: Eukaryota; Metazoa; Chordata; Mammalia; Primates; Cercopithecidae
Exons: 3
Source: RefSeq, a predicted model, not a curated record